UAUUAUAUGCUAAGCAUGACAUGCAUUUGCAUAUGCAUUUUUGCAAAUAAAAGUACUCAUGAUUUAAAUUGGUUUUCAUUAUAAUUCCAAUUAUUAAAGAAAGUCGAGUAAGAAUAUUGUUGGUGUUCUUAACUCAAGAGAAAUGUUUUCAAUUAUUUAUUCAUUAAAUCUUGAAAACCCGGCUAAGUGAAUCAUAGAGUAUUAAGCACUACACCAUGACUUAAGAUUAGAUUCAAGGAGACCUAUUAAGAAUAGAAUUUCUUGUAGGCUUUGUGGACCAAGGGGAUUAGCACUGCUUUCCCAAGACAGGUUAUGUGAUUAUGAUCUUCAGGCUUUGCCUAUCCAGGUUGAGCAGCUGAUGGAAUGGAAUGAUGUUGAGCGGGUGUUCCUUUAACAUUUCAAGAAAUGUAACCUUGAGUAUACAUCUUCAUAUGUAUAUCUCACGCGUUUUCCGCUGCAAAACACUUUGAUUAGGAUAACUUUAUGUUAUGAAAUUGUGACACGUGUUAUUGAGUAACCCACCUUAAUCAGUUCUCAUUUAUGUGUAUGUUUUAUAAGUAUCCAAAUAAUCAUAUAUGAUCCCAGCAUUUUAUCUAUGAGUGACAUUUCCAUAUACUUUAAUGUUAAGUAAUUGUCCAUUUCCAUUUCUUAUUGUUCACCCCAAGUCAUAACCCCUGUUAACCCGUCAUUGGGAUAGUGGGUUGUGACAGAGUGGUAUC
Molecule: long non-coding RNA, 719 nt
Organism: Salvia miltiorrhiza (redroot sage)
Lineage: Eukaryota; Viridiplantae; Streptophyta; Magnoliopsida; Lamiales; Lamiaceae
Exons: 2
Source: RefSeq, a predicted model, not a curated record